RNAcentral lists this ribosomal RNA (916 nucleotides) under Piptocephalis indica. RNAcentral describes it as "eukaryotic LSU rRNA". The stretch from base 265 to 417 matches the Rfam family "5.8S ribosomal RNA". The record is from RNAcentral. Lineage: Eukaryota; Fungi; Zoopagomycota; Zoopagomycetes; Zoopagales; Piptocephalidaceae.
CCGUAGGUGAACUGCGGAAGGAUCAUUAAAAAUUCAUUAAAGUCUCUCUCCUCCCUAAUCCUACAUAAUCUAUUGUGUAAAACGGGGAGGAAUUGAGGGCACUUUCGUGCAAUGAUGGUAUAAACCUUUAUUACUCUUCUCCCUCCCUAUAGUAAAAUAUGGGGAGUGUGUGAAGUGUUUAAACAUCUUGAACCAAACCAAACCAUACUAAUCUUUACAAUUAAUAUGCACUGGCAUAAUCCGGUGUGUAUCCUAAUUUAACACAACUGUUAACAACGGAUCACUCGGUUCUCACGUCGAUGAAGAGCGUAGCGAAUUGCGAAAAGUAAUGCGAUCUGCACCCAUCGUGGAUCAUCGAAUCCUUGAACGCACUCUGCACCCAAUGGUACCCCCAUGGGUAUGCCUGAUUGAGUCCCUGUAAUAUCAUCAAAAGGGUUUUCUCUUUUGGAAUUGGACUCUCUCCCCGUGUCUUCGGACUUGGGGUGGUCUUAAAUGUAGGACACUGAAUACGCGCCUAUCCAAGUGCACGUACUCUCACCACUCUUGGUGUCCACCUUUUCAUGGGAGUAAAAUCCCUAAACCCAUAUCGUUCGGUAACCCUCUCUCGGGGGGGUUACCUCACUCUUUUACUUUUACUUGAGUGUAUCGUAUGGUGUAUUGGUCGGGGUCCUGGAUUAGGGGAAACCCUCUUUCAGAUCACGAAUUUCACGCUUUACGAUCCAUUUGAGUGAGGGGGAAAGGGGGAUGGUACGGGGAAAGAGGAUGUGAUAACUUGAGUAUAGGGAUUGUACAAGUAUGAGGAUCUUGAGUUGUGUGUAGGAGGUAGCUUGACCAUGCGAAGCUUUUGGGAGUUAAAUCCCCCUUUGCAUAAUCAAAUUAACAUUUGGGCUCAGUUAGGUAGAGUACCCGCUGACUA